This 256-nucleotide ribosomal RNA is filed under the name uncultured bacterium. Its description in RNAcentral is "partial 16S ribosomal RNA". It matches the Rfam family "Bacterial small subunit ribosomal RNA", at positions 524 to 776 of the family's 1533-position model. The record is from RNAcentral.
UACGAAGGGGGCAAGCGUUGUUCGGAAUUAUUGGGCGUAAAGAGCUCGUAGGCGGCUUGUCGCGUCGAAUGUGAAAACCCACGGCUCAACUGUGGGCUUGCAUUCGAUACGGGCAGGCGUAGAGUUCGGUAGGGGAGACGUGGAAUUCCUGGUGUAGCGGUGAAAUGACGCAGAUAUCAGGAGGAAUACCAGUGGCGAAGGCGGCUGACUGGCCUGCAACUGACGCUGAAACGCGAAGGCUAGGGGAGCAAACAGG